Molecule: ribosomal RNA, 557 nt
Filed under: Stemphylium sp. MAFF 243157
Lineage: Eukaryota; Fungi; Ascomycota; Dothideomycetes; Pleosporales; Pleosporaceae
Description: eukaryotic LSU rRNA
Rfam family: 5.8S ribosomal RNA (bases 193-346)
Source: RNAcentral
CUGCGGAGGGAUCAUUACACAAUAUGAAAGCGGGUUGGGACCUCACCUCGGUGAGGGCUCCAGCUUGUCUGAAUUAUUCACCCAUGUCUUUUGCGCACUUCUUGUUUCCUGGGCGGGUUCGCCCGCCACCAGGACCAAACCAUAAACCUUUUUGUAAUUGCAAUCAGCGUCAGUAAACAAUGUAAUUAUUACAACUUUCAACAACGGAUCUCUUGGUUCUGGCAUCGAUGAAGAACGCAGCGAAAUGCGAUACGUAGUGUGAAUUGCAGAAUUCAGUGAAUCAUCGAAUCUUUGAACGCACAUUGCGCCCUUUGGUAUUCCAAAGGGCAUGCCUGUUCGAGCGUCAUUUGUACCCUCAAGCUUUGCUUGGUGUUGGGCGUCUUUGUCUCUCACGAGACUCGCCUUAAAAUGAUUGGCAGCCGACCUACUGGUUUCGGAGCGCAGCACAAUUCUUGCACUUUGAAUCAGCCUUGGUUGAGCAUCCAUCAAGACCACAUUUUCUUAACUUUUGACCUCGGAUCAGGUAGGGAUACCCGCUGAACUUAAGCAUAUCAAUA